UUGUAUUGAUACUUAUUUUGGGACGGAACUGUAUAGUUAGUUUUGUGAUGGUUAUUUCUGGAUUACACUGCUGGAUGGAUUAAAUGAGUUUUCUGUCAGCCUGUUUCAUUAAUUGUUAUGUCUGGAAUACGAUUGUAUCUAAGUCGGUGCUGUGACAAGAAGAGCUGUGGAAACAGAAAUGAAACACCCUCCGAUCCCGUGAUAAUUGACAGAUUAUCAAGAUAUGCAUUGAAGCACACCUGAACUUGCUCUCACUUGCCACUAAAUGCUUAGAAUUAAUUGAGAAUGUAUUAACAGGGAUUCAAGUUUGCCGUCUCUCAAACUUGUAGUCAAAAGACUAUUUGUAAUCUCAUAAUGUAAU
Long non-coding RNA from Stegodyphus dumicola, 361 nucleotides. NCBI's taxonomy places the organism in Eukaryota, Metazoa, Arthropoda, Arachnida, Araneae, Eresidae. The record is from RefSeq and is a predicted model, not a curated record.